This is a long non-coding RNA of Zingiber officinale, 1137 nucleotides long. RefSeq lists it as uncharacterized. The transcript has 4 exons. NCBI's taxonomy places the organism in Eukaryota, Viridiplantae, Streptophyta, Magnoliopsida, Zingiberales, Zingiberaceae. The record is from RefSeq and is a predicted model, not a curated record.
AGAAAGUUAAAUCCUUUCCCCAAGAGGCCUCUUCUCAUAAAACCCUAAUCCUGCUUUCCGUCUUUCCCCUUCCCUCUUCUCAGAUCGCCGCGGCCUGCCCGAGGCGCACGGCCAUAGCGAGCUCGCGGCCGCGUGUACUGCACAAUCGCGAGCGACCUUGCGAUCGCGCGAGGUGCGCGGCUGUGGGCGACCGAGAGCGACUUUGCGAUCGCGGGUUCCUCGCGGUCGGGCGAGGCGGCGGCCCUCCAGAUCUACAGUAAAGGGUUUACCUGAGGAAGCUCGAGCCCCCAGGUGAAGAAGACAGAAGACUGGAGAGUUUGCCGUGAGGAAGCUCCGCUCUGGGGUGAAGAGGGAGAAGAAGACAGAAGACUGGAUCUGAGAGGAGAAUGCCGUGGAUUAGGGUUUAUGACUACAAUGGGAAUGGGGUGGAAUUGGAAGUGCCGAAAAUAGAUAACAAGAGCAACCCAGAGAUAGAGAACCCGAUUACUUUGAACGUUCAAUUUUGAGCUCGCCAUUGGUAUUGAGAUAUGAAUUAUGCAAGAUGGCAUUUUGUUUGAAAAUAUUUUAGUAGCUAGAAGGUUGCUGAGUCUUGAGUCUUAUUGAUUGAGACAUGGAAACAUAAAUAUGAGGUUGAGAGGGAAAAUAUAGCUGCUGGGAUCGAAGAUGAACUUUCAAGAUUUCCAGAAGAAAAUAUUUGAUUUCCUUUGCAAAAUAGCAGACAUUCUUUUCUCGGAGCCUUACAAGGAUUUUAUUGAUAAGGCAGAGGAAUAAACUACACUUACCAUUGGUGCCUUGAUUUCCAAUAGUAGUGUCUAUUCCUGUUAUAUUUAGGUUUCUAUUUGGCCAAAAGAAGCCUCAGGAGUUGAAGAGGCACUAAAGUAUAUGUUCCAUCUCGUUCAUCUUUAAGGGUAAAGUUUUCUUAAUUAAUUUAUUAUCAUCUGAGUAGUUCAUUAUUGAUUUAGCCUAUGUAUAUUUUGGUUGAGAAUAUAAGUUAAAUUAAUAUUUUUGUUUAUUUUGAUAAUAUUCAGCAUGACAAGUUGAAACAUGCUUUUUUAUAAGUUAAGUUUUGUGCGGGCUUAUAAGAACCUUGAGUCGGUCUUUUAUUAAUUUAAUAUAAUAUAUUUUAGUUGAGAAUAU